RNAcentral lists this unclassified non-coding RNA (269 nucleotides) under plant metagenome. RNAcentral describes it as "partial contains small subunit ribosomal RNA, internal transcribed spacer 1, and 5.8S ribosomal RNA". The stretch from base 1 to 54 matches the Rfam family "Eukaryotic small subunit ribosomal RNA", at positions 1778 to 1831 of the family's 1831-position model. The record is from RNAcentral.
GGAAGUAAAAGUUGUAACAAGGUUUCCGUAGGUGAACCUGCGGAAGGAUCAUUACCACACCAAAAAAACUUUCCACGUGAAUUUGUACUCGUUUAGUUUUGUGCUGAAUUUUGACCUCGGUUGAUUUUCGGCUGAACGAAGGUUUCGCAAGAAACUGAUGUAUUUUUAAACCCAUUUUAAUUUAAAUUGUACUGAAAAUUAUAUUGCAAACAUGAAAAUGUAUGCUCUUAAUUUAAAUACAACUUUCAACAGUGGAUGUCUAGGCUCGC